RNAcentral lists this ribosomal RNA (505 nucleotides) under uncultured bacterium. Its description in RNAcentral is "partial 16S ribosomal RNA". It matches the Rfam family "Bacterial small subunit ribosomal RNA", at positions 28 to 507 of the family's 1533-position model. The record is from RNAcentral.
GACGAACGCUGGCGGCGUGCCUAAUACAUGCAAGUAGAACGCACAGUUUAUACCGUAGCUUGCUACACCAUAAACUGUGAGUUGCGAACGGGUGAGUAACGCGUAGGUAACCUGCCUGGUAGCGGGGGAUAACUAUUGGAAACGAUAGCUAAUACCGCAUAAUAUUGAUUAUUGCAUGAUAAUUGAUUGAAAGAUGCUAUUGCAUCACUACCAGAUGGACCUGCGUUGUAUUAGCUAGUAGGUGAGGUAACGGCUCACCUAGGCGACGAUACAUAGCCGACCUGAGAGGGUGAUCGGCCACACUGGGACUGAGACACGGCCCAGACUCCUACGGGAGGCAGCAGUAGGGAAUCUUCGGCAAUGGACGAAAGUCUGACCGAGCAACGCCGCGUGAGUGAAGAAGGUUUUUGGAUCGUAAAGCUCUGUUGUAAGAGAAGAACGGGUGUGAGAGUGGAAAGUUCACACUGUGACGGUAUCUUACCAGAAAGGGACGGCUAACUACGUG